GACGAACGCUGGCGGCGUGCUUAACACAUGCAAGUCGAACGGAAAGGCCCUGCUUUUGUGGGGUGCUCGUGUGGCGAACGGGUGAGUAACACGUGAGUAACCUGCCCUUGACUUUGGGAUAACUUCAGGAAACUGGGGCUAAUACCGGAUAGGAGCUCCUGCUGCAUGGUGGGGGUUGGAAAGUUUCGGCGGUUGGGGAUGGACUCGCGGCUUAUCAGCUUGUUGGUGGGGUAGUGGCUUACCAAGGCUUUGACGGGUAGCCGGCCUGAGAGGGUGACCGGCCACAUUGGGACUGAGAUACGGCCCAGACUCCUACGGGAGGCAGCAGUGGGGAAUAUUGCACAAUGGGCGGAAGCCUGAUGCAGCAACGCCGCGUGCGGGAUGACGGCCUUCGGGUUGUAAACCGCUUUCGCCUGUGACGAAGCGUGAGUGACGGUAAUGGGUAAAGAAGCACCGGCUAACUACGUGCCAGCAGCCGCGGUGAUACGUAGGGUGCGAGCGUUGUCCGGAUUUAUUGGGCGUAAAGGGCUCGUAGGUGGUUGAUCGCGUCGGAAGUGUAAUCUUGGGGCUUAACCCUGAGCGUGCCUUCGAUACGGGUUGACUUGAGGAAGGUAGGGGAGAAUGGAAUUCCUGGUGGAGCGGUGGAAUGCGCAGAUAUCAGGAGGAAUACCAGUGGCGAAGGCGGUUCUCUGGGCCUUUCCUGACGCUGAGGAGCGAAAGCGUGGGGAGCGAACAGGCUUAGAUACCCUGGUAGUCCACGCUGUAAACGGUGGGUACUAGGUGUGGGGUCCAUUCCACGGGUUCCGUGCCGUAGCUAACGCUUUAAGUACCCCGCCUGGGGAGUACGGCCGCAAGGCUAAAACUCAAAGGAAUUGACGGGGCCCCGCACAAGCGGCGGAGCAUGCGGAUUAAUUCGAUGCAACGCGUAGAACCUUACCUGGGUUUGACAUGGAUCGGGAGCGCUCAGAGAUGGGUGUGCCUCUUUUGGGGUCGGUUCACAGGUGGUGCAUGGCUGUCGUCAGCUCGUGUCGUGAGAUGUUGGGUUAAGUCCCGCAACGAGCGCAACCCUUGUUCACUGUUGCCAGCACGUUAUGGUGGGGACUCAGUGGAGACCGCCGGGGUCAACUCGGAGGAAGGUGGGGAUGACGUCAAGUCAUCAUGCCCCUUAUGUCCAGGGCUUCACGCAUGCUACAAUGGCUGGUACAGAGAGUGGCGAGCCUGUGAGGGUGAGCGAAUCUCGGAAAGCCGGUCUCAGUUCGGAUUGGGGUCUGCAACUCGACCUCAUGAAGUCGGAGUCGCUAGUAAUCGCAGAUCAGCAACGCUGCGGUGAAUACGUUCCCGGG
Molecule: ribosomal RNA, 1343 nt
Filed under: uncultured bacterium
Lineage: Bacteria
Description: 16S ribosomal RNA
Rfam family: Bacterial small subunit ribosomal RNA
Source: RNAcentral